Molecule: long non-coding RNA, 1177 nt
Organism: Eubalaena glacialis (North Atlantic right whale)
Lineage: Eukaryota; Metazoa; Chordata; Mammalia; Artiodactyla; Balaenidae
Exons: 3
Source: RefSeq, a predicted model, not a curated record
UCGAGGGGCGGCGCGCACACCUCAGCGAGAACGAGCUUUUCAAUACAGCGCAUCCAGGUGACUUACUUAAGCGUUCUAAAACACUCUGUUAAAGCUCUCCUUGCAAGUUUACUCAGAUUUAUUAAAAAAAAAAAAAAAGAAAGAAAGGCACAAGUUUCCCAGACUCGCUAGUAGGAGCGGUCGCCUAUUUCCCCUUCGAGAGAAGCGCCUGCGCGCCGUUUCCCGCCCGCCUGAGCACGCCCCGGCGUCCGGGCGCGGCCGCCACGGCAGCCCGCGCUGAGACUGACGGCUAGGCGCGCCGCCACGCUGAGCUCCGUCUCCCCGUCCGUCAAGGGGGGAUAACGCGAUCGACCCGGAGACACGGCGACGGGCGCCCAGUAAACGCUCGGCGCAGCUCUCCAGUGACGCGACCGAGGAAAGCAAGCAACACCGGCCUCUUGACUUCGCUCCCCGCCAGUGAACCCCCCAGCCCUACGCAGGGACAGGACUGGACAGCGCGGAGAACACAGGAGCCAGAGUGAGGGCCCAGCUGAGAAGAGGGCUCAGAGGCCGGAGCUGGUCCAGGAGAGAGUCUCGGUCUCCACCACGGUCACGGUCACGGUCACGGAGGAGAACUUGUUCCAGGCUCUGCACUGCGGAAGAUUCAAAACUGGCGCACAGACUACUCAAUAUCAACUGCAAAAUAAGUAGAGUGCAAAAUUGACACAAAAAUUUGGGAUACACAAUAGCACUUAAACAAUUGAGGGAGGGGCUGUAACGAUGUAGCAGGCAUUCACUUUUCCUUCCACGGGGAAGAAAAUGGAGAACAGUUGCUCUAAAUUCUGCAGAAGGUUCUCUGCUGCCCCUUUUCCUGCUGCACAUUCACACCUCGAACCCUGCACUUGGCCUCAGACCCACCUCGUAGCUGAAGCUCCUGAUCCGUGACUUCUGAUGAGCCGCUGCCUGUGACAGCGAUGCCGCCGUCUCCGUCUGGAAACUCGCUCCCCUGUUCUGGACACAGACUCUGUGGUCUCUGCUCCACGUUCUUCCUUGUGUUGCUCACGUUUCUCAAGUAUGGCUUGUCUGUCACUUUGUCUGAUAAGUAAAAGCUGCUCCCCCCACCCCAUGUUCCACUUAUUUGGGCUAUUUAUUCUAGAAUGUGAACUAAAAAGCAAACCAUUUAAAAAUAAAUUUCCUU